CUCAUGGAGAGUUUGAUCCUGGCUCAGGAUGAAUGCUAGCGGCAUGCUUAACACAUGCAAGUCAGACGGGAAGUGGUGUUACCAGUGGCGGACGAGUGAGUAACGCAUAAGAACCUACCCUUGGGAGGGGAACAACAACUGGAAACGGCUGCUAAUACCCCAUAGGCUGAGGAGCAGAAGGAGGAAUCCACCCAAGGAGGGGCUCGCGUCUGAUUAGUUAGUUGGUGAGGCAAUGGCUUACCAAGGCAACGAUCAGUAGCUGGUCCGAGAGGAUGAUUAGCCACACUGGGACUGAGACACAGCCCAGACUGUAGGUGAAUUUUCAAGUCUGCCAUCAAAUCCCAGGGCUCAACCCUGGACAGGCGGUGGAAACUACCAAGCUGGAGUAUGGUAGGGGAAGAGGGAAUUUUCGGUGGAGUGGUGAAAUGCAUUGAGAUUGAAAAGAACACCAAUGGCGAAAGCACUCUGCUGGGCCGACACUGACACUGAGAGACGAAAGCUAGGGGAGAAAAUGGGAUUAGAUACCCCAGUAGUCCUAGCCGUAAAUGAUGGAUACUAAGUUAUGUUUGUAUCGACCCGCGCAGUGCUAUAGCUAACGCGUUAAGUAUCCCGCCUGGGGAGUACAUUCGCAAGAAUGAAACUCAAAGGAAUUGAUGGGGGCCUGCACAAGCAGUGGAGCAUGUGGUUUAAUUUGAUGCAAAGCAAAGAACCUUACCAGGGCUUGACAUGCCGUGAAUCCUCCCGAAAGAGAGGAGUACCUUCAGGAACGCGGACACAGGUGGUGCAUGGAUGUCAUCAGCUCAUGCCGUAAGGUGUUGGGUUAAGUCCCGUAACGAGCGCAACCCUCAUGUUUAGUUUCCAUCAUUGAGUUUGGAACCCUGAACAGACUGUCGAUGGUAAGCCGGAGGAAGGUGAGGGUGACGUCAAUUCAUCAUGCCCCUUACGCCCUGGGCGACACACGUGCUACAAUGACCGGGACAAAGGGUCGAGACCCCGCGAGGGUAAGCUAACCUCAAAAACCCGGCCUCAGUUCGGAUUGUAGGAUGCAACUCGCCUACAUGAAGCCAGAAUCACUAGUAAUCGUCGGUCAGCCAUACGGCGGUGAAUCCAUUCCCAGGCCUUGUACACACCGCCCAUCACACUAUGGGAGCUGGCCAUGCCCCAAGUCGUUACCUUAACAGCAAGGAGGGGGAUGUCAAAGGCUGGGCUAGUGACUGGAGUGAAGUCGUAACAAGGUAGCCGUACUGGAAGGUGUGGAUGGAUCACCUCCUUU
This is a non-coding RNA of Picea glauca (white spruce), 1273 nucleotides long. Lineage: Eukaryota; Viridiplantae; Streptophyta; Pinopsida; Pinales; Pinaceae. The record is from Rfam.